RNAcentral lists this ribosomal RNA (467 nucleotides) under uncultured bacterium. RNAcentral describes it as "bacterial SSU rRNA". It matches the Rfam family "Bacterial small subunit ribosomal RNA", at positions 33 to 507 of the family's 1533-position model. The record is from RNAcentral.
ACGACGCUGGCGGCGUGCCUAACACAUGCAAGUCGAGCGGGGUCCAUCCAGUGGCAACACUGGGGAAGACCUAGCGGCGAACGGGUGAGUAACACGUGAGGAACCUGCCCCGAAGACCGGGAUAACCCGAGGAAACUCGAGCUAAUACCGGAUACCCCCACGAGAUCGCAUGGUCUUGUGAGGAAAUGUCUUUCGCUUCGGGAGGGCCUCGCGGCCUAUCAGCUAGUUGGCGGGGUAACGGCCCACCAAGGCAUCGACGGGUAGCUGGUCUGAGAGGACGAUCAGCCACACUGGGACUGAGACACGGCCCAGACUCCUACGGGAGGCAGCAGUGGGGAAUCUUGCGCAAUGGGCGAAAGCCUGACGCAGCAACGCCGCGUGGGGGACGAAGGCUCUCGGGUUGUAAACCCCAUUCAGGAGGGACGAAAUUGACGGUACCUCCAGAAGAAGCCCCGGCCAACUACGUG